UGCCUUACACAUGCAAGUCGAACGGCAGCGGGGGUAGCUUGCUACCUGCCGGCGAGUGGCGAACGGGUGAGUAAUACAUCGGAACGUGCCCUGUAGUGGGGGAUAACUAGUCGAAAGACUGGCUAAUACCGCAUACGACCUGAGGGUGAAAGUGGGGGACCGCAAGGCCUCAUGCUAUAGGAGCGGCCGAUGUCUGAUUAGCUAGUUGGUGGGGUAAAGGCCUAACGAUCAGUAGCUGGUCUGAGAGGACGAUCAGCCACACUGGGACUGAGACACGGCCCAGACUCCUACGGGAGGCAGCAGUGGGGAAUUUUGGACAAUGGGGGCAACCCUGAUCCAGCAAUGCCGCGUGUGUGAAGAAGGCCUUCGGGUUGUAAAGCACUUUUGUCCGGAAAGAAAUCGCUUCGGUUAAUACCUGGAGUGGAUGACGGUACCGGAAGAAUAAGGACCGGCUAACUACGUGCCAGCAGCCGCGGUAAUACGUAGGGUCCAAGCGUUAAUCGUUACUGGGCGUAAAGCGUGCGCAGGCGGUUGUGCAAGACCGAUGUGAAAUCCCCGGGCUUAACCUGGGAAUUGCAUUGGUGACUGCACGGCUAGAGUGUGUCAGAGGGAGGUAGAAUUCCACGUGUAGCAGUGAAAUGCGUAGAGAUGUGGAGGAAUACCGAUGGCGAAGGCAGCCUCCUGGGAUAACACUGACGCUCAUGCAGCGUGGGGAGCAAACAGGAUUAGAUACCCUGGUAGUCCACGCCCUAAACGAUGUCAACUAGUUGUUGGGGAUUCAUUUCCUUAGUAACGUAGCUAACGCGUGAAGUUGACCGCCUGGGGAGUACGGUCGCAAGAUUAAAACUCAAAGGAAUUGACGGGGACCCGCACAAGCGGUGGAUGAUGUGGAUUAAUUCGAUGCAACGCGAAAAACCUUACCUACCCUUGACAUGCCACUAACGAAGCAGAGAUGCAUUAGGUGCUAGAGAAAGUGGACACAGGUGCUGCAUGGCUGUCGUCAGCUCGUGUCGUGAGAUGUUGGGUUAAGUCCCGCAACGAGCGCAACCCUUGUCUCUAGUUGCUACGAAAGGGCACUCUAGAGAGACUGCCGGUGACAAACCGGAGGAAGGUGGGGAUGACGUCAACUCAUGGCCCUUAUGGGUAGGGCUUCACACGUCAUACAAUGGUGCAUACAGAGGGUUGCCAAGCCGCGAGGUGGAGCUAAUCCCAGAAAAUGCAUCGUAGUCCGGAUCGUAGUCUGCAACUCUACGUGAAGCUGGAAUCGCUAGUAAUCGCGGAUCAGCAUGCCGCGGUGAAUACGUUCCCGGGUCUUGUACACACCGCCCGUCACACCAUGGGAGUGGGUUUUGCCAGAAGUAGUUAGCCUAACCGUAAGGGGGGCGAUUACCACGGCAGGGUUCAUGACUGG
This 1411-nucleotide ribosomal RNA is filed under the name Ralstonia solanacearum. RNAcentral's name for it is "bacterial SSU rRNA". It matches the Rfam family "Bacterial small subunit ribosomal RNA". The record is from RNAcentral. Lineage: Bacteria; Pseudomonadati; Pseudomonadota; Betaproteobacteria; Burkholderiales; Burkholderiaceae.